AGUUAAUUUUUUCACAAAUUCAAAAAAUCUUUUACCUCAAUAAUAGUGACAUCUUGUAUAAAAUUUUCGAAUUACACAAUUUAAAUUUCCACAGCGCGAAAAUUAUUCAUGGAAACUCUUCAUAAUUUAUCUCAUAUCAAAAGUGGAGGAAAGUAAAUAUCCAACUUCAUAUGUUCAUAUUUGUUUUGUAUAAGUCAAUGAAUUUGAAAAGUGCAUUUACUUUAUUGUUUAAUUACACACUAUGCACUAAUUAGGUUAUUUAUUUAAAUAGAAAAAAAUAAAAUAAUGCAAGCUAUUGGCUCUCCCACUAAAAUUCAAAAACAAAAUUUGGAAAAAAAAUAAAAAUAAAAAUAUACACGUAGGAAAUUAAAAAAAACUGUUUAUGUUAAAUGCUUAUUAAAAUUAGAGAUUGGGUGACAA
Long non-coding RNA from Microplitis demolitor, 420 nucleotides. RefSeq lists it as uncharacterized. The record is from RefSeq and is a predicted model, not a curated record. The transcript is spliced from 3 exons. NCBI's taxonomy places the organism in Eukaryota, Metazoa, Arthropoda, Insecta, Hymenoptera, Braconidae.